RNAcentral lists this transfer RNA (84 nucleotides) under Fidelibacterota bacterium. RNAcentral's name for it is "tRNA-Leu". It matches the Rfam family "tRNA". From Rfam's summary of the family: Transfer RNA (tRNA) molecules are approximately 80 nucleotides in length. Their secondary structure includes four short double-helical elements and three loops (D, anti-codon, and T loops). Further hydrogen bonds mediate the characteristic L-shaped molecular structure. tRNAs have two regions of fundamental functional importance: the anti-codon, which is responsible for specific mRNA codon recognition, and the 3' end, to which the tRNAs corresponding amino acid is attached (by aminoacyl-tRNA synthetases). tRNAs cope with the degeneracy of the genetic code in two manners: having more than one tRNA (with a specific anti-codon) for a particular amino acid; and 'wobble' base-pairing, i.e. permitting non-standard base-pairing at the 3rd anti-codon position. The record is from RNAcentral. Lineage: Bacteria; Pseudomonadati; Fidelibacterota.
GCUCGGAUGGCGGAAUUGGUAGACGCGCCAGGUUCAGGGUCUGGUGUCCGCAAGGAUGUGCUGGUUCGACUCCAGUUCCGAGCA